Molecule: ribosomal RNA, 501 nt
Filed under: uncultured bacterium
Lineage: Bacteria
Description: bacterial SSU rRNA
Rfam family: Bacterial small subunit ribosomal RNA
Source: RNAcentral
GAUGAACGCUAGCUACAGGCUUAACACAUGCAAGUCGAGGGGAACGAUAUUGGAAGCUUGCUUCCGAUAGGCGUCGACCGGCGCACGGGUGAGUAACGCGUAUCCAACCUGCCCAUCACUUGGGAAUAACCUUGCGAAAGUAAGACUAAUGCCCAAUGACAUUUAUAGAAGGCAUCCGAAGUGAAUUAAAGAUUUAUCGGUGAUGGAUGGGGAUGCGUCUGAUUAGCUUGUUGGCGGGGUAACGGCCCACCAAGGCAACGAUCAGUAGGGGUUCUGAGAGGAAGGUCCCCCACAUUGGAACUGAGACACGGUCCAAACUCCUACGGGAGGCAGCAGUGAGGAAUAUUGGUCAAUGGGCGAGAGCCUGAACCAGCCAAGUAGCGUGCAGGAUGACGGCCCUAUGGGUUGUAAACUGCUUUUAUAAGGGAAUAAAGUGAGUCUCGUGAGACUUUUUGCAUGUACCUUAUGAAUAAGGACCGGCUAAUUCCGUGCCAGCAGCCG